UAUUGUGUAUUCGAGAUUCUCACAUCAAACUAGUUUGCUUCGCUUUAUACGAAUUAGAUUUUGAUCUUUUUCAUGGCUUCUGGUGCUCUAAUGGCGGUUUGAAUCUUGUAUUGAGCAUCUGGUUCACAUUCAGCAGGUUCAUUCAUGAAAUAGGUACUUGUUGACGCUAUCUCAACACAAAUUUUCAUAUUAGUAGAUCAUUCUGUUUGAAUUUUGAAUUGAGUGCACAUUUA
Molecule: long non-coding RNA, 233 nt
Organism: Cynara cardunculus var. scolymus (artichoke)
Lineage: Eukaryota; Viridiplantae; Streptophyta; Magnoliopsida; Asterales; Asteraceae
Exons: 2
Source: RefSeq, a predicted model, not a curated record